UGCCAGCCGCCGCGGUAAUACGGAGGGGGCGACCGUUAUUCGGAAUUACUGGGCGUAAAGGGUGCGUAGGCGGCCCAUCAAGUUAGACGUGAAAGCCCCGGGCUCAACCUGGGAAUUGCGUUUAAUACUGGUGAGCUAGAGUACGAGAGAGGAAAGUGGAAUUCCUAGUGUAGAGGUGAAAUUCGUAGAUAUUAGGAAGAACAUCGGUGGCGAAGGCGAUUUUCUGGGCCAAAUCUGACGCUGAGGUUCGAAAGCGUGGGUAGCAAACAGGAUUAGAUA
RNAcentral lists this ribosomal RNA (279 nucleotides) under uncultured bacterium. RNAcentral describes it as "partial 16S ribosomal RNA". It matches the Rfam family "Bacterial small subunit ribosomal RNA", at positions 506 to 784 of the family's 1533-position model. The record is from RNAcentral.